UGAGGAAUAUUGGGCAAUGCCCGCAAGGGUGACCCAGCAACGCCGCGUGGAGGAUGAAUGUCGUAAGAUUAUAAACUCCUGUUAGAGGGGAAGAAUAGUACCGGUUGGACCGGUAUAUGACUGUACCCUCAGAGAAAGCCCCGGCUAACUACGUGCCAGCAGCCGCGGUAAUACGUAGGGGGCAAGCGUUGUCCGGAUUUACUGGGUGUAAAGGGCGCGCAGGCGGGAUAAAAAGUCAGUGGCGAAAUCCUACAGCUUAACUGUAGAACUGCCUUUGAUACUUUUAUUCUUGAGUUCGGGAGAGAGAGACGGAAUUCCAGGUGUAGUGGUGAAAUACGUAGAUAUCUGGAAGAACACCAGUUGCGAAGGCGGUCUCUUGGUCCGACACUGACGCUGAGGCGCGAAAGCGUGGGGAGCAAACA
Molecule: ribosomal RNA, 422 nt
Filed under: uncultured bacterium
Lineage: Bacteria
Description: bacterial SSU rRNA
Rfam family: Bacterial small subunit ribosomal RNA
Source: RNAcentral